RNAcentral lists this ribosomal RNA (469 nucleotides) under uncultured bacterium. RNAcentral's name for it is "partial 16S ribosomal RNA". It matches the Rfam family "Bacterial small subunit ribosomal RNA", at positions 28 to 507 of the family's 1533-position model. The record is from RNAcentral.
GACGAACGCUGGCGGCGUGCUUAACACAUGCAAGUCGAACGGAAAGGCCCUGCUUGCAGGGUGCUCGAGUGGCGAACGGGUGAGUAACACGUGGGUGAUCUGCCCCUUAUUUUGGGAUAAGCCUGGGAAACUGGGUCUAAUACUGGAUAGGACCAUGCUGUAGGUGGUGUGGUGGAAAGAUUAGUUUCGGUAAGGGAUGAGCUCGCGGCCUAUCAGCUUGUUGGUGGGGUAAUGGCCUACCAAGGCGUCGACGGGUAGCCGGCCUGAGAGGGUGGACGGCCACAUUGGGACUGAGAUACGGCCCAGACUCCUACGGGAGGCAGCAGUGGGGAAUAUUGCACCAUGGGCGCAAGCCUGAUGCAGCGACGCCGCGUGGGGGAUGACGGCCUUCGGGUUGUAAACUCCUUUCAGCCAUGACGAAGCCCUUGUGGUGACGGUAGUGGUAGAAGAAGCACCGGCUAACUACGUG